AUGAAUCACGAAGAUGGCACUGAUCCUUGGCUUUCUCAAAGGCCGGAAACGCCACCUUGGGAUGUAGCAGAGUACAAUCAACUCAUUUCUUCAGGGCCAUUGCUGCCACUACUAGAGCACUACGCGGGCAUCGGUUCUUAUGACCAAACCAUAAUCAGGGGGCAGCAUGGCAAGACCUUCAUGCAGCACGUGGCAUCAGGCAGCAACCAUGUACCUGCCAUCAACGUCGUACACAGUUGCCAUGCAAUGACCAACUGCUACCAGGAUCGCAGGUUGUUACGGUGGAACCACAUCGGCAAACAUCUCAUGGCAAGCUUCACAGUUUUGCCAUGUAUGCUGGAUUGUAUCUGCCAUUGCUAUGUGCUGCAAUUUCUGAUGCUGAAAGAAGCUGGUUGCCAUGUGUGGGCAAUAGUAGUUGCCAUGUGUGUUGGACUAUUUCUGCCAUUGCUAUAUGCUACAAGUUCUCAAGCUAAAAGACGCUGGUUGCCAUGUGUUGGCAACGGACCUUCAACUACAAUUAACAGCGGCGCGGGGACAUCUAUUGCGGGGAGCUCUGAGCGCACGGAAGAAGCAUUCCACCAGCCAGCCAACACUCAUGCCACAAACAAUGCCGAGUCAGUGUCAGAAAUGGAAAUCGUGCCAGCAAUACCGACAAGCACACAUGUGCACACCAGCACAAGCAACACUCGAGCAGGUGAAACAGCCGCCGAUACUGAAGUGAAUGAUGAAACCGAUGAUGAAGCACAAGGGGAUGAAGAUGAUGCAAAGGAAUUCUACCAGACAUAUGCAAAGUUCCAUGGGUUUGCGGUCAACACCGAAUACCAUAGGAAAAUUAAAAAAACUAACGAGUACAGUAGAGGUGAGAUGAGGUGCUACAAGGCACGAAGAAACAAGAAGGGCAAAGGUGAUGCGCCUGUCGUUCCGGAACGAAAGAGAGGUAUCAUUGUCAAGAUGGAAUGCCCUGCCCGGUGUAAGCUGAACGUAGAUGGAGCACAGUGGGUGGUCACUGAAUAUUUUGACGAGCACAACCAUGAGCUAAUAAAGAAGUUUGACCUGGUAAAAUUUCUGACCGCCCAUAGAGGAUUCACCCCCCUCGAGAAGAAAUUCAUAAAGCUGCUACAUGAUUGUAACAUCGGUCCAUCAAGAAUGGUGCAGAUACUCUCCCUCAUCCACAGCAAGAACGGGUCUCUGAGUAGCAUGCCCUACCUACUAGCAGACGUCACAAACCUAAAGGCAAAAUUCCAGGAAGAAAUAAAGCGUGCCAGCAUGUACACGACUUUCCAGGUGGACGAACAUACAUUCAAGGUGUGUUCUAUCAUGGGCAUGUCGGAUUCAGAACCUGAAGACCCAGACAAGGGAAGGAACUACUUUGUGAAGGCAUCGAUAAGCGAAGGCGAAUACUACUGCCAAUGCUGCAAAUUCGAACUGGACGGGAUUGUGUGCUGUCACAUUCUAAAAGUAAUGGACUUGAACGCGGUGACACGAAUGCCCCGCCAUUUCAUAAGGCGACGAUGGACUUGGGACGCUGAGGACGCAUUGGCGCCGCAAACAUCAAAUGUAGUUUUGGCCGUGCAUGACGAGAGACCAGAGUCAACCAUGGAAGCCGUGAGGCACGUUGUGUUGACAAAGAACUAUGCUGAACUAAUUGAUGAAGCGUGCAAGAGUGAUGAGACAGCAAGGGUCGCAGAAAAACACAGGAAGGCCCUCAAAAGAGAGCUUGAUGAGAUCAAGAAGAGGAAAGCUGAGGAAGCCUUACAUAGGUUCCCCCGCACAUCAAGUGUGCCUUCGUCCACAGGGCCAUCAUCUGAAAACUCGGAGGUAGGAUCUGGAACAGCAAGCACACAAACACAGAUGUUCUAA
This 1860-nucleotide ribosomal RNA is filed under the name Triticum aestivum (bread wheat). RNAcentral's name for it is "partial small subunit ribosomal RNA". The record is from RNAcentral. Lineage: Eukaryota; Viridiplantae; Streptophyta; Magnoliopsida; Poales; Poaceae.